Molecule: long non-coding RNA, 199 nt
Filed under: Solanum tuberosum (potato)
Lineage: Eukaryota; Viridiplantae; Streptophyta; Magnoliopsida; Solanales; Solanaceae
Description: long non-coding RNA (STUB_LNC000488)
Source: RNAcentral
CACUUUGAGGGUACUUCUUAUAAGGUCUUUCCACUAUCAAGAAUUGAAUUCAUAACAUUGAAUUAAGAAUGAAUGAAUAUUUAUCAAUCAAUCAACAGAUUUGAUGAAAAUAUAUAUGAAUUUCGGUGUGCACAUAUUAUAAAAGGACAAACUUCAAAUUUAUUUCAAAUUAAUUAAUUAAUAAGGGUUCUUACUAACA